GUGACCCAUUCGUUGUCAGCCAACCGUGAAGUUCACAUUCACACUCUCGUCAGCCUACACUAAUAAAAUCACUUCGUUUCCACAACUUAAAACUCUCAGUAGUACAUACUACCAGUUUCGUUUCUUUCUAAAAAAUAAGUUACAUUUCCCGUGAUAAAAUAUUUAAAAGUUCAAAUACAAUACGAAAAAAUAAAAUUUUCAUUGGUAAUCUGCAGUGCAAAUAUUUUCCUUGCCUGAAAAUGUUAAUUUCAAACGGAUGAAAAGGUGGUAGCGAUUCAUAAAAAAUGUAUCUUCCUCAGAGAUAUGCACAUUAAAUGCACGUUUGUAAGCGUACAAAAAUAAUACAUAAAUAUGUAUGUCUGAAUACAUUUUUUGCUUAAACUGCACGUAAGUAAUUUAAGCAUUAGCAUUUUUGUAAAUCUUGUUUAUCUAAUUUACAACUAUUGACAUAUUUCGUGACAAAUAUUUAUUUCAAACUGCACGAAAAGUCUUAUUCCACGUCAUGCUCGGGACAACGAUACCCACCCUAGGCUCUAAAACCUCAGACAAUUCUGUUCAAGUUAAUUAUGUACACUGACUAAUUUUUUUACCGCAAGACGAGCUCAAUGUUCACCAACAUUGUGAGAAGAACAUGCACACCAUAAGGACGACAUCAUGGAGACGCAAUUCCAAACUUUACCGAAAUCUUGACGAGCAUGAAGAAAAUAAAAUGAAUGACGGAACCACGUCCAUUAAAGUUACACACUUUGUGAGGAAUAUAUUUUAUAUUUUUCAUAAGAAUGCAUAUUUAUAGUCUCGGUUAAACACACGUAUGUAUUAGCUUUACUAUUUUUCAUCCUCAUUUUCGUACUUGGAUAGAUACAUACAUAUGCUUCAUCUAAAUUUGCAUAAGAAAUUAGCAUAUUUACUAAAUAUGCAAAUUAACUAAAAUGCUGGCCGAUUUAAGAGUACUUAGCUAGGUUUUUCCAUUCCGGUAGUAUGGAAAAAUUUACUAAAAAGAAGUGAAACGAGAAUCACAUGGAUGUUUCGAUUCACAUUGCGAAUUUCUAUCGUCCAGAAACAAAGUACCUCUAUUGGUCAAAUCUAUAAAAUUCCAAAAAUAAAUUAUGCACAUUGGCCUCAAGUCUCGCAGUAUGAAUUUCAUUGUAGAAUAUACAAAGUAAAAACUAUAGUAGAAAUUAAUUUAAUCUUCCCUACUUUACAAAUUAUUUGAACUCACAUAUAAAAUAUUCAAAAAUAAGGAAUCACACCUAUGUCUGCUGAUAAAUUUUUUUAAAUGCUUUGCAAAUGCAUAGUAAUGGAGAAUUGGUGACGGUAAAAUCACCUUCUUUUCAUUAGUAGUUAAUUCUUUAUUUUCGAGGUACUUUGUAAAAAUUGGACAUUUGUACCAACGAAUUGGAUCUCUCUGCUCGGUUUCGUCGUAUUCCAUUUCUUUAUCUUCUUCAUCACGAAUCACAACUUCUUGUGUACAUUGGUCGCAUGCUGCGAUAUUCUCAGAGACCCCAUAAUUCAGCUGCAAGGUGUUUAGCGUACAUCCUAUUCGUAGAGAAAUAUUCGAAUUUCCUCUCCAUGCUUUGGUGUCCCUCCAAUGGAGGGACACCAAAGCAAGUUCAGAGGAUGGAGGGCCUCCAUCCUCUGAACUUGGCGAAACACUACCUGUAAGAGUCCGCGAUCAGUGAUCCAAGGGUGGACAGGAGUAAUGUCUUCAAAAAACCAGUGUGAAUAUAGUUUAUCUUUACGAGGAAUGACCCACACAAAGCAAUUAUUGAAUACAUUCAAAUAAUAUAUAUUUAUUAUUUCCACCAUGGAUACAUUGUAUUUCUCCAUGUGCCCAGAAGUCUGGAGUCAGGGGGCCCUUGCAAGCCCUUGUUCUGGUCGAGGCGCUUCGAUAACCUCGUCUUUCUGCUCAAAUUGGUUGCUUGAGCUCCUCAAGUAUGUUGUCCUCGUCUCGAAUUUUUCGAACUCUAUGCCAGUUAUGCUGUGCAUGAAAUUGUUUUACGUAUCGGACAAGAGAUUGUUUUUCACAGGUAGACGACGAGCAAUCUCUUUUUCUUCACUGCGUAUAGACGACUUCGCAAGAUUCGAAAUUAUUAGCCUUUUCCAUGUUCGUCGUUGGUCAACUUAUUUCUUGAAUUAUAUUCGCUUAACAAACUAUCCGAUGUACAUGUACUUGACAUCGAAAUAUACUUGCAGAUAUCCUUAUCCUUGACGUGAGUAUACUAAUUUUUCGUGCAAAAAUAUCCUUGUACAUUUAACAUAUUUAUUCUGAAUGAUAUUAAUAAUUGACAUUAAUAGUGACAAUAAUUGACAUUAAUAGUGACAAAUUAACCAGUGAGUUUAUUAGCACUACACUUUUUUAGUCCUACAUAUUCAAUCGUUUACUUGUGUCUCAUUGCAAUACCAAUUUUGGCAAUUAGACAUGAAUUAGUUUAUCUAAAAUUAUUUCGAAUGCACGUUUCAUGCAAAUCGAGGUAGAGAUGAAGAUGUUCCUCAGAAAUUUAUUAGCAUUUACAAAUAUACAGACAGUUAAGCAUCUCGAUAAUAAAUUUUUAUUAGUUUUAAAAUUGUGUCCAGAACUGGAGUUUAAAUCUGUAAUAAUAUAAUAUUAUAUUUUAUAUUAUUAAGGGUUAUGUACGUACAUAACAUACAUAAACUGCACAGAGUUUGGAUUUCAAAAAUAUACUAAACGCCAAUAAGUUUUUAUGCAUUAGAUAUUGAAAUAAAAACCUACUUAACUAACUUCAUAUCAACGACUUACUAAUAGAAACAAUAACUAGUUAACUACGAAUUAAUAAAUUGUGCAUCAUAUGUUAUAACAGUAAUAAACAAUUAUUCACCGCUUAAACAAAGUUUAUGCAAAUUAAAUGUUAAAAAGCAGAGGUAAAAAUAAGCAAAUUGUAAAACAUAUACAUAUAUGUACGUAGGUAUGUACAUAUUUAGAGUGUAUUUGUCCAUAAAUAUAAAAGCAAUUAAAUAUGUAUUUUCUUAAUUUGUACUUAUUUAGCUCACUGUAAGCAUUAAAACCGAUGAAUAAAAAAUUUCACGUUCAAAGAUAA
Molecule: long non-coding RNA, 3056 nt
Organism: Folsomia candida
Lineage: Eukaryota; Metazoa; Arthropoda; Collembola; Entomobryomorpha; Isotomidae
Exons: 3
Source: RefSeq, a predicted model, not a curated record